UUUCACUCUGGGAGACGUUUGAGACCCAGCGUCUCUAGAUCUCGUAUUUGAAUUUGUGGCGCUUGGUGUCCGCGAGUUGCCGAAUGAAGCUGAGCGUCUCAGUGGAACCAGGGAUCUCAGGGAGGGGAAGGUAUAAAAUUUUCAAAUGGAGGAGUAUACCUGAACCUAAUCAUGGAUGUGAUUUUAUAUACAGAUAAGCUGAUUCUAAAACUUACAAGAAUGGCAAAGAAACAAGAAGAGCUUAAACUGCAAUCAUCAACAGAGAAGCUUUCUGCAACCAAAGUGAAGACUGAAGCCUUAGGCUAUGGCAGAAGUUGGGCGCCUGAAGUACACGUGGAAAUAUGCCAACUGAACAUUGGACUACCACCGCCUGCCCCUGGCUCAGCGCCCGGUGCCAACAGAACACCUUUCAGGAUCCACAGCAACGCAGACAACGUAAGUACCAGCCGUUCCCUGAAACCCUUUUGCAGAUUUUUUAAAAACAACCACCUAAAACAUAG
RNAcentral lists this long non-coding RNA (500 nucleotides) under Homo sapiens (human). RNAcentral describes it as "HSALNT0233253". The record is from RNAcentral. Lineage: Eukaryota; Metazoa; Chordata; Mammalia; Primates; Hominidae.